UACGAAGGGGGCUAGCGUUGUUCGGAUUUACUGGGCGUAAAGCGCACGUAGGCGGAUUGUUAAGUCAGGGGUGAAAUCCCGGAGCUCAACUCCGGAACUGCCUUUGAUACUGGCAAUCUAGAGUCCGGAAGAGGUGAGUGGAACUCCUAGUGUAGAGGUGGAAUUCGUAGAUAUUAGGAAGAACACCAGUGGCGAAGGCGGCUCACUGGUCCGGUACUGACGCUGAGGUGC
This 231-nucleotide ribosomal RNA is filed under the name uncultured bacterium. RNAcentral describes it as "partial 16S ribosomal RNA". It matches the Rfam family "Bacterial small subunit ribosomal RNA", at positions 524 to 754 of the family's 1533-position model. The record is from RNAcentral.